CAGCGAGAACACGUCAGGGGAGGAAGUUCCCUGCCUGCUGGUGGAAGAUAGACAGAAGAGAAGGUUCUGAGGUCUGAGCUUUUCCUUUCACACCUGCAAUGACAAGGGCCAGAAUGUCCUUGACAUUCCCGUUCUCCCAGGCAGGGCUCUUUCCCUUGAGUUUUUCCCAGUACUCUGAACAGCUUUCUCAUUCCUGAUGCUCCUGAGAAUCCCUCCAGGCUCCUGACAGAGACUCAGAACAUCUGCGUGGGAAACUGAAGUGAUGAUUGCAGCACACAUAAGAAAAUCUCAAGUCUAAUGCAGCCAGAACAGGCGAGAAAACCACGAAAAACAGGCCUUUUGUGAAACUGGGACAAGUGUUUCCUGAUGAACUGACUGUGGAUUUGAGGAGCUUGCUGGGAAGGCUAUUUACUGGGUAAGACAUGAAGGUUUUUGGUGUCUGUGUGAACUCAGUGAAACACUGGAAUCCACCCCACAGAUUUAGAGAUGCUGAGAUGCACAACAGGAUUGGGACCCAGAUCCAGAACUAUUCUAGAGCAGAGAGAAUGGACAAAGCUCUCUAGAGAACCCACUUGGGUAAAAUUACCUUCCUGGCCAAAUGAGAUGAAGCAUGGAGUAUGUUUAAUUUGUGUGUUACAUUAUUGUUAAUAACAGUAUCUCAUUAAAGCAUCUCGUGACAUCUUAAUGAGCAAGAAAUCAAAAAAAUCAAGGAGGCUUUAUUGAAUUUUUCUUUCAACUCCAGCUCUCCAGGUUUGAAUGAAUCCAUCAUUGGAGACAGUGCCUUGUUUGUCUGAUUGUCUCUUCAGCUCAGCCAUGUAAGCUGUAGCUUUAUUGUCUAGAAACUAUCCUUAAAUUAAAGUCGUCAUUCUUAGGAAGAUGAUUGCUUGAAGGGGAGAUUAACCUUUACAAUGUGAUGAUGGAAGCUGUUGUUCAUUUCAAGAGCCCCUGAAGAUUGCUGGGAGCUGGAAGUGAUGGAAACUGGACUGGGAUUUGGCACCACAGAUGAGAGGUGGGAAUGGAGUUUGUCUUUGACGGGGCUCCUCACUCUCAUUUCAUUGCAGGAUUAUUAUUUAGGUAUUAAAAAUAAUGAUAAAAACUAAAUAAAUAUG
This is a long non-coding RNA of Prinia subflava (tawny-flanked prinia), 1109 nucleotides long. RefSeq lists it as uncharacterized. The record is from RefSeq and is a predicted model, not a curated record. The transcript is spliced from 3 exons. Lineage: Eukaryota; Metazoa; Chordata; Aves; Passeriformes; Cisticolidae.